This 503-nucleotide ribosomal RNA is filed under the name uncultured bacterium. RNAcentral describes it as "bacterial SSU rRNA". It matches the Rfam family "Bacterial small subunit ribosomal RNA", at positions 28 to 527 of the family's 1533-position model. The record is from RNAcentral.
GAUGAACGCUAGCGGCAGGCCUAAUACAUGCAAGUCGAGGGGCAGCACGAGUAGCAAUACUUGGUGGCGACCGGCGCACGGGUGCGUAACACGUAUACAAUCUGCCUUUAACAGGGGGAUAGCCCGGAGAAAUCCGGAUUAAUACCCCAUAAUAAAUGAAACGGCAUCGUUUUAUUUUGGAAGCUCCGGCGGUUAAAGAUGAGUAUGCGCCUGAUUAGCUAGUUGGUGAGGUAACGGCUCACCAAGGCGACGAUCAGUAGGGGAUCUGAGAGGACUACCCCCCACACGGAUACUGAGACACGGAUCCGACUCCUACGGGAGGCAGCAGUAAGGAAUAUUGGACAAUGCCCGCAAGGGUGAUCCAGCCAUGCCGCGUGCAGGAAGACGGCCCUAUGGGUUGUAAACUGCUUUUACACCGGAGAAAACCCCUUCUCGUGAGGAGGGCUGAUAGUAUGGUGAGAAUAAGCAUCGGCUAACUUCGUGCCAGCAGCCGCGGUAAGACG